Molecule: ribosomal RNA, 581 nt
Filed under: uncultured bacterium
Lineage: Bacteria
Description: bacterial SSU rRNA
Rfam family: Bacterial small subunit ribosomal RNA
Source: RNAcentral
ACAAUACCGCAUACGCUCGCAAGAGCAAAGCCCGCAAGGGCGCCUGAGGAUGAGCCUGCGCUCGAUUAGUUGGUUGGUGGGGUAAUGGCCUACCAAGACUGCGAUCGAUAGCUGGUCUGAGAGGACGAUCAGCCACACUGGGAUUGAGAACGGCCCAGACUCCUACGGGGGGCAGCAGUGAGGAAUUUUCGUCAAUGGGGGCAACCCUGAACGAGCAACGCCGCGUGCAGGAUGACGGUUUUCGGAUCGUAAACUGCUUUUCUCUGGGACGAGAACGGACGGUACCAGAGGAAUCAGCCUCGGCUAACUACGUGCCAGCAGCCGCGGUAAUACGUAGGAGGCGAGCGUUGUCCGGAGUUACUGGGCGUAAAGCGCACGCAGGCGGUCAGAUUAGUCUGUAGUGACAGUCGUCGGCUCAACUGACGAAGUACUAUGGAAACUGUCUGACUUGAGGGCUUCAGAGGGACACGGAAUUCCGGGUGGAGUGGUGAAAUGCGUAGAUAUCCGGAGGAACACCAAAGGCGAAGGCAGUGUCCUGGGAAGUACCUGACGCUCAGGUGCGAAAGCUAGGGGAGCGAACA